RNAcentral lists this ribosomal RNA (492 nucleotides) under uncultured bacterium. RNAcentral describes it as "partial 16S ribosomal RNA". It matches the Rfam family "Bacterial small subunit ribosomal RNA", at positions 29 to 507 of the family's 1533-position model. The record is from RNAcentral.
AGUGAACGCUGGCGGUAGGCCUAACACAUGCAAGUCGAACGGCAGCACAGUAAGAGCUUGCUCUUACGGGUGGCGAGUGGCGGACGGGUGAGGAAUACAUCGGAAUCUACUUUUUCGUGGGGGAUAACGUAGGGAAACUUACGCUAAUACCGCAUACGACCUACGGGUGAAAGCAGGGGAUCUUCGGACCUUGCGCGAUUGAAUGAGCCGAUGUCGGAUUAGCUAGUUGGCGGGGUAAAGGCCCACCAAGGCGACGAUCCGUAGCUGGUCUGAGAGGAUGAUCAGCCACACUGGAACGGAGACACGGUCCAGACUCCUACGGGGGGCAGCAGUGGGGAAUAUUGGACAAUGGGGGCAAGCCUGAUCCAGCCAUACCGCGUGGGUGAAGAAGGCCUUCGGGUUGUAAAGCCCUUUUGUUGGGAAAGAAAAGCAGCAGGUUAAUACCCCGCUGUUCUGACGGUACCCAAAGAAUAAGCACCGGCUAACUUCGUG